RNAcentral lists this small RNA (505 nucleotides) under uncultured Entrophospora. RNAcentral's name for it is "SSU rRNA". It matches the Rfam family "Eukaryotic small subunit ribosomal RNA", at positions 569 to 1078 of the family's 1831-position model. Lineage: Eukaryota; Fungi; Glomeromycota; Glomeromycetes; Entrophosporales; Entrophosporaceae. The record is from RNAcentral.
AGCAGCCGCGGUAAUUCCAGCUCCAAUAGCGUAUAUUAAAGUUGUUGCAGUUAAAAAGCUCGUAGUUGAACUUCGGGAUCAAUUGAUAUGGUCAUGCCUUGGUAUGUACUGUUCAUAUUGGUUCUCACCUUCUAAUGAACCAUAAUGUCAUUUAUUUGAUGUUAUGGGGAAUUAGGACUGUUACCUUGAAAAAAUUAGAGUGUUUAAAGCAGGCUCACGCUUGAAUACAUUAGCAUGGAAUAAUGAAAUAGGACAUCGCAUUCUAUUUUGUUGGUUUCUAGGAUCGAUGUAAUGAUUAAUAGGGAUAGUUGGGGGCAUUAGUAUUCAAUUGUCAGAGGUGAAAUUCUUGGAUUUAUUGAAGACUAACUACUGCGAAAGCAUUUGCCAAGGAUGUUUUCAUUAAUCAAGAACGAAAGUUAGGGGAUCGAAGACGAUCAGAUACCGUCGUAGUCUUAACCAUAAACUAUGCCGACUAGGGAUCGGAUGAUGUUGAUUUUUUAAUGUA